Molecule: unclassified non-coding RNA, 209 nt
Filed under: uncultured Thelephoraceae
Lineage: Eukaryota; Fungi; Basidiomycota; Agaricomycetes; Thelephorales; Thelephoraceae
Description: sequence contains ITS1
Source: RNAcentral
CCGAGUUGUCAACACGAGUUGUUGCUGGUCCUCAAAUGGGGGCAUGUGCACGCUCUGUUCACACAUCCACUCACACCUGUGCACCCUCUGUAGUUCUACGGUCUGGGGGAUGUGCCAUCUUCCUCCUGUAGCUCUACGUCUUUACACACACACACACACACCGUGGUUGAGUCUUAUGGAAUGUGCGCAGCGUUUAACGCAAUACAAUA